GUGAAUCAUCGAAUUUUUGAACGCAAAUUGCACUCUUUGGUAUUCCGAAGAGUAUGCUUGUUUGAGGGUUGUUCCAAUAAAAUCGUUUUUUUAAAAAACGGUUCUGAGUUUUCAAAGGUUCCAGGUUUUUGGUAAUUUUAAAUUCAUCUUAACAAUAUUUUUGUUAUGAUAUUGGAAUUGUUAUUAUUCUUACUACUCGUGAGUUUAUUUAACAAUCGUUUACUUGUGGUUACGUCGUAUCAUUGGCCCAAUCCUUUUGAUUGAAUCGCAUGAUAAAAUUUCCUUUCGGCACC
RNAcentral lists this unclassified non-coding RNA (293 nucleotides) under Acaulospora sp. Its description in RNAcentral is "partial contains 5.8S ribosomal RNA and internal transcribed spacer 2". The stretch from base 1 to 71 matches the Rfam family "5.8S ribosomal RNA", at positions 84 to 154 of the family's 154-position model. The record is from RNAcentral. Lineage: Eukaryota; Fungi; Glomeromycota; Glomeromycetes; Diversisporales; Acaulosporaceae.